Molecule: non-coding RNA, 644 nt
Organism: Peromyscus maniculatus bairdii (prairie deer mouse)
Lineage: Eukaryota; Metazoa; Chordata; Mammalia; Rodentia; Cricetidae
Source: RefSeq, a predicted model, not a curated record
CAGACCGUCCCACAGCAACCGGUUUCCAAGCUUCUAUCAGAACUCUCUCUUUUUCUUCCGUGGUAAACAGAAUCUGCAAAAGCUGUUGGCAGUCUUCCCAAGUGGACUGUUGGUUAUCUGAGGUGCAUCCUUCUGAGGGAAAGCUACCUGACAGGACCAGUUUCUCCACUUCAUACCUUCUCCCACUCCGUGCUCUUCUGAAGGCAGACACUGUACAUAGCCACACAGUGGGACUGUGCACCACCUCCUCCGGGCAAUGUAGUUACAGAAACGAGUGGGACUGUGCGCCACCUCCUCCAGGCAAUGUAGUUACAGAAACGAGUGGGACUGUGCGCCACAUUCUCCGGGCAAUGUAGUUACAGAAACGAGUGGGACUGUGCGCCACAUUCUCCGGGCAAUGUAGUUACAGGAACGAGUGGGACUGUGCACCACCUCCUCCGGGCAAAGCAGCUACAGAAACUGUUUGUAAUUUUUAUGCAUGGAGGAUUUUCCUUUUCUCCCCAUUUUAUUUAUUUUUUUAAGUCAUUUGUUUAAAUCAGAAUGGACUCCAAAUUUAACACAGUUUGUUUUUAAAAGAGCAAUUUGCUAUUUUCCCCCCAUGGGUAAAACUGGAAAGGAUGCUAAAAUAAACAUCAUGAACAAAA